Non-coding RNA from Pelobates cultripes (western spadefoot toad), 157 nucleotides. NCBI's taxonomy places the organism in Eukaryota, Metazoa, Chordata, Amphibia, Anura, Pelobatidae. The record is from the annotation of a GenBank genome assembly.
GCAGACACAUUCCAGCCAAUCAGCAGCAGACCCUCCCUCCCAGACUCUCCCACCUCCUGGACAGCAUCCAUUUUGAAGCUGCAUUCUUAGUGAGCUGUCCAGGAGGUGGGAGGGUCUGGGAGGGAGGGUCUGCUGCUGAUUGGCUGGAAUGUGUCAG